This 492-nucleotide ribosomal RNA is filed under the name uncultured bacterium. Its description in RNAcentral is "partial 16S ribosomal RNA". It matches the Rfam family "Bacterial small subunit ribosomal RNA", at positions 28 to 507 of the family's 1533-position model. The record is from RNAcentral.
GAUGAACGCUAGCUACAGGCUUAACACAUGCAAGUCGAGGGGAAACGACAUCGAAAGCUUGCUUUUGAUGGGCGUCGACCGGCGCACGGGUGGGUAACGCGUAUCCAACCUGCCCAUCACUUGGGGAUAACCUUGCGAAAGUAAGACUAAUACCCAAUGAUAUCUCUAGAAGACAUCUGAAAGAGAUUAAAGAUUUAUCGGUGAUGGAUGGGGAUGCGUCUGAUUAGCUUGUUGGCGGGGUAACGGCCCACCAAGGCAACGAUCAGUAGGGGUUCUGAGAGGAAGGUCCCCCACAUUGGAACUGAGACACGGUCCAAACUCCUACGGGAGGCAGCAGUGAGGAAUAUUGGUCAAUGGGCGAGAGCCUGAACCAGCCAAGUAGCGUGCAGGAAGACGGCCCUAUGGGUUGUAAACUGCUUUUAUAAGGGAAUAAAGUGAGAGUCGUGACUCUUUUUGUAUGUACCUUAUGAAUAAGGACCGGCUAAUUCCGUG